This 211-nucleotide non-coding RNA is filed under the name Pseudomonas sp. NFR02. The record is from RNAcentral. RNAcentral also lists the same sequence under 1 other name. Lineage: Bacteria; Pseudomonadati; Pseudomonadota; Gammaproteobacteria; Pseudomonadales; Pseudomonadaceae.
AAACUACAAGGGGAGCCGAAGCUCCCCCAGAAGUAGUUGCGUGCUCUAUUUUUAUUAUUGAUGUCGGGCUUCUUGUUUUUGUUGAUCGCCCUCGCCACGAAGUUUCACCUUCAUGACACUCCCAAUCGGGAGUCAAGAGCAAACGGAUUGCUUUGGUCGCUGUGUUGCUGAUCUACGAUCCAACCAGUUCAGGCUCUGCCUUAGGGCAGUU